Molecule: ribosomal RNA, 253 nt
Filed under: uncultured bacterium
Lineage: Bacteria
Description: partial 16S ribosomal RNA
Rfam family: Bacterial small subunit ribosomal RNA
Source: RNAcentral
UACAGAGGUCCCGAGCGUUGUUCGGAUUCAUUGGGCGUAAAGGGUGCGUAGGCGGGGGGGCAAGUCUGAUGUGAAAUCCCGGGGCUCAACCCCGGAACUGCAUUGGAUACUGCCUUGCUAGAGUACUGGAGAGGGAACUGGAAUUUACGGUGUAGCAGUGAAAUGCGUAGAGAUCGUAAGGAAGGCCAGUGGCGAAGGCGAGUUCCUGGACAGUGACUGACGCUGAGGCACGAAGGCCAGGGGAGCAAACGGG